Molecule: long non-coding RNA, 4099 nt
Organism: Sander lucioperca (pikeperch)
Lineage: Eukaryota; Metazoa; Chordata; Actinopteri; Perciformes; Percidae
Exons: 2
Source: RefSeq, a predicted model, not a curated record
GGAACUUUGUACUGUAACAUUAGCUGAUUCUGGAGCAUUAUGACUGAAUGGGGUCAUGAAAAAUCUGCAUUCUUGUACCUGUUGCAGAAAAAUACCACCUUUCUCUUUGUGUAAAAUGACUUCCCUGAAGUGAUUGCAUUUUGCUGUACCAUCAAUGUCUUUUGCAAAGCUUUGUCACACUUUUUAGCAUUACCUCUGGCCCGCCAUACUGUAAACAUUAUACAUGAGUAUUGAUGCAUUCAUAAGUGGUGAUGUAGACUGAAGUUUACUAGCAUAAAGAAACCAAAGUCUGGUUCUUAUAAACGUGUGCAUACUUCUAAUUUCAAACAAUAUAUUAUUACCCAGCCCUAAUUAUCUCAGUUGGUAACUGGCCAACAACCAAAGUUCUGUUUGUUUUGAUGGUAACAUUGCAAUUAUCACCUAAGGCGAUGCAUUUUAGGGAUGUGAUUAGUUUAACACCUUCUAGUAAAUGAUACAGGUGUACAGUUUCAGGUUAAAAGGAAGGACAUUAACUGUUUCACUCAAGCCGCUACAGUUCUAACAUUAGAUAUUUAUAUUUAUUAGACAAUACGAGAGAUAAUUAUGAGAUAAACUGUUUAAAACUAUGCUUGCAGCUUGCGGUUCAAUUUCCUGUGAUACCUACCAUGGUAAUUAGGCAUUUUGGAUAAAAGCAAAGUGAACAUAGCAGAGGUGAUAUAAUCACAUAUGUUUUGAAAAUGACACAUCUGAGUGGGCUAUUUUUCAGUAGCUGCUGUCAGGUUUGGGGAAUCAGACGUGUAACUGAUGGGGUUUGGGGUCUAGGUAGGGAUUGGGAAUGUUGGUGGUUGAACUCUGGGUUUGAGAUAUCUUGAGGUGGGGACAUUGACAUUGGGCGGGGUUGGGUAGGGGUGCUAUCAGGGAGUCAUUUAGACUCACAGCACCACAGUGGCAAAGCAGGAGGACGGGUUCACAGUGUGCUGACUCCACUCCAAGGGGCAAAGGGGCUCUCUCUCUUCUUAGUGUCUUAAAGUGGAAAUCAACCCUGAAACAGAAACCACAGCAGGUAGCCUCAUUUUUCCUGGACAGUUUUGGAAAUUAUACUGACAGCAUUAGACUAGAUACAGUAUUCCAACUUGUGGAGAUCUUCUGCAACAGUUAGUUGACAAAAAUAUAAAUAAAAUACAUUCUGACUUAUUUCUGUUCUUAACUGGGAAUGUGUAUCUCACAUAACAAGUCUAAAUGUAAAAAAAAAUGUUAAUAAUGCUUUUUCAAAGUUUCACAGUUUUUAUAUUUGCGCUAUUGUGAUAACCAAAAAACGAACAGGUCUUGCCUAAAUGUUUGCAAAAAGCAUGUUAAGCCAAACAAUAGACACAUUAUUAUCUAAAAACUAUUUACACAUUUUUCUGGCACUGCUCAUUACUAUUAACAAAAGAAUCUAGUCUUUUUUACUUUUACAUAUAGAUAAAAAAAACUAAUUGAAAUACAGGUAGUUUUCAAUUUAGUUAUUUGUUUCAUGAUGGUGUUUGCUGUCAGAAAUUAAACCCAAUGACAAUUUGAUUGGAUUCUCCAUUUUUAAAGUUAUACAGUUUAACACUUUCCUGUUUCCUAUGGUCUGCUAGUUGCAGAGAGGCACUUAACAGUUAAGCUGUCCAGGCUUCAAGAGUUAACGUGGAUUCUGUUUUGAGGUUGGUGUCCCCUUUUACUUUUAACUGUUUAAUUUUACUUUUUAUGUCUCUUCAUAUAAUUUGGUAAUUUUUGAUUGGGUUACCUUGAAUUUAAAACAUCUGUGUUUUUUCACUUAUGUUUUUCAUUGACAGGAUGGAUUUCAGGAUAGCAAGUGACACCAUUUGCUGUCACGAAGGGUUGUGGUUUGCUGUCAAUUGUAUUUUUUUAACUUAUGUCUGUACAAACCAAUUUCUUUGCUGCACUUACUCUUUGCAGCACAUAUAUUGUAAAUCCUAAUUUGGUCUUUUGUUUGAGAGGAACAAUUCUAUGAACUUACAUUGCCUUAAAUAUCAAGUCUGUUAACUGAAGUUCGCUCUCUGGCUGGAUAAAAUGUGUUCUAGUUUUUACUGGUGCUUCGCUGUUAGUUUAUAUUAGUCCAGACCUGUAGUCAUAAAGCUUCCGAGGACAGGACCUGUCAGGCCAGAGAAUAAUACAAUUUUGAUAUUGUAUUUUCUUAGGUUGCUGCUGAGCAGUUUGGUCCAUUUUAACCGAACUCCGGAGCAUUUCAUCGGAUAGCCGGUUGGUUUAGGGCGGUGUGAAAGCUCAUUCCAACUCUGGUGCGGACCAAACAACAGAACUCUGGUCCGCUUGAAAACAGGGGUCUCGGAUCGCUUCCAAGUGAUCUCGAGUUUGUUUCACUUUAGGUGAGAAUGUAAUCCGACCCAAAUACAGGAAUUUACCCAAAACAGUGCAUUUGCUAGUCUGUAAAUACAACCUUGCACACAGUUAAGGACGUAAACAUGAGUUAAGAGACAGUAACUUUCAAAUCCAUAACCUAUACAUUGCUCGUCAUCUGUGUGACAACACAUCAUCAUCUCUCUCUCUCAUCAGGGCUGCCCUCUCCUUCACUUGCUGUCUUUUCAGCUGCUCAUUGUUCGUCUUCUUCUAAAAUAUUAGAAACACCAAAGCAGAACCAGAAAACCCAAGACGUAAUAAAUUUGGUGUUCCAUUAUUUCUGAGACCAGAAGUGUCGGCGAGUUUCGGAUAUUUUGUUCAAUAAACAAGCAACCUUUUCGACCGUGUGACAUUUGUAUCAGUAUUUGGUGCGUUUGACAAAGUGCAGUGUGAACGCUAACGGAACCACAUGAAAAAUGCAACUUCACCUCCGAAUCUACCAAACUAUAGCUGUGAAAGUGCCCUAAGUCUUUAGCCUUAAAUUAAGAGUGUUACUACUUUAUUGCCAAUUGCUAAAAAAUCUGAGAUAAAUCAAAUAUCAUUAACCCUGUUGGUAUUUUAGGGAACUGGACUUAAACUUUGUAUAAUAAAACUGCAAGCUGUCAAUAAUUUUGAGCCCCGCCUGCAGUGACUCCGAGGACACCCUAGAGGUCUCGGACCCCCUGUUGAAGAUCCCUGCUCUAGGGAAACCAAUGGUUACCAUGGGUAAAACUGAUCACAAAAAAUAGCUUGAAAGAAAAUGAAACACUUUACCACAGCUCCUUUUUACUUUGUUUUAGGUUACCAAGCCGCAAGCACGAUAAUACACUCCAAGGUGUUCUGAUAUAGAAAAUAACGGACUUGGCUUUGCCUCAAAAUUGUGCAUUAUUUUCUCACAUCGAGAUUCGCCACACAUUAUCACUAAUAUCAUUAUCCGAUAUGCAAAUCCUUAGGAUUUUUCUUUCAGCUCACUGUUGAAGUCUUGAAACUCAAACGUGAAGCGAAUUCAGUUGCAAAUUAUCAGCUGUGGGCUGGAAGUGCAUCUUUACAUUGUUGAAAGAGACAGGCCCCUUGUCUUUAAAAGUUUCAUGCAUUCUCAGAGUUCUACAUUUUUAUCAUACCCCCUGGUAUCCUUUAUGAUCAAGUCUGUCGGUUCUGUUCUGAGAGAUUUAUGAAUACUGGUCUUCUUUUGUACAACCUAGCAGACUUUGUGUAGGAAAAAUUACCGAAGCAUCAAGGACACUGGCUUCGACAUGAUUCACCUUUAUGAAGAUGUGCUAUAACGCAGCUGUGAGGCUCUUUGUGCUUAACUGUCACUGUUAAAACUGAUGAUGCUACAAUAUUUUGUAUUACUGUUUGGUGUUUUUUUUGUAGCACAAAACUACAUAAAGUAAAAAUCCUUCUGUUUAACAAUGCAGAGUGAGCAUAAUUAUACUGUCUGUUAGCUCUGUAUUUAAACUUUCUGUUUGAAUAUUACACUGUAAAAGUAUAAAACAUGGUUCUGAUCAUCAUUUAACGUCUGACCUCUUUCUCUUGUUAUUCUCGGUGUAUAAAUAAAAAUAUUUCUCGCCAAGCGUAAUGGUACAUAUUGUUACCUCCGUGCAUCUGAACGCAGGGAGAUUCCUUUCAUCCGUUUACAUUUUACAGACCAUAUGAAUGUCAAAUGAAAAACUCCAAAUCUAGAAAGAAAAAAAACAUACAAUGUCAAUGUUGUUAAAUACUAUUAUUGCUAUCAAAAAAA